This is a long non-coding RNA of Oryctolagus cuniculus (rabbit), 721 nucleotides long. RefSeq lists it as uncharacterized. The record is from RefSeq and is a predicted model, not a curated record. NCBI's taxonomy places the organism in Eukaryota, Metazoa, Chordata, Mammalia, Lagomorpha, Leporidae.
CACUCACGUAGGUUGAGAGGUUGCCCAGAGUUGGGGCACUGUUGCCACUAGUGUCUACUCCAGGUGGCGGGGAGUGGGGUUGCUCCACAUCAGGAGGGAGGGGGCGAUGUGAACAGGGGCAAGGAUCACCGUGGAGACAUGGCCCACAGUCCACUGGUCCCAAGUCCUGCAGAGAAAAGUGGGCAGCAAGAUCAGAAACCCGGAAUAAAACCCACAGCAUGGACCCUGCUUUUGUGUGCUGGAGUGUGAGGCUGCCCCCUAGUGGCUAAGGUUCAUAAGGGGACUGAAGUUCAAGGAGACUCACCAUGAACUUCUUCCUGUGGAGUUCUGAUGCCUCCUCUUGCAAGCGUGUGUGCUAUGCAGGCUGUGAUGCUCCAGUGUGAGACUGAAUGCAGGAGUCCAAGAGCUGAGCUGUGGUGGCCUCCCUCUCUGGAAAGGUUCUCCCUGUGUUGGAUCAAGAGUCCUUCCUCACUGUCACCAUGUUGCACAUGGCACGUCUCUGCUUUGGCCUGAGAAGGCAGAAGAUGGCCCAAGUGCUUGGGUCCCUGCACCCACGUGCAAGACCCAAAGGAAUCUCCUGGCUCCUGACUUCGGAUGGGCACUGCUCCCGCCAGUGUGGCCAUCUGGGAAACUGAAUCAGUGGAUGGAAGACCUCUCUGUCUCUCCCUUUCUCUGUCUGUAACUCUACCGCUCAAAUAAAUAAAAUAAAAAUUAAAAAAAU